GAGUUUGAUCGUGGCUCAGGAUGAACGCUGACGGCGUGCCUAACACAUGCAAGUCGAACGAAGCAAUCGGGAUGAAGUUUUCGGAUGGAUUCCUGGUUGACUGAGUGGCGGACGGGUGAGUAACGCGUGGAUAACCUGCCUCACACUGGGGGAUAACAGUUAGAAAUGGCUGCUAAUACCGCAUAAGCGCACAGUACCGCAUGGUACGGUGUGAAAAACCCAGGUGGUGUGAGAUGGAUCGCGUCUGAUUAGCCAGUUGGCGGGUAACGGCCCACCAAAGCGACGAUCAGUAGCCGACCUGAGAGGGUGACCGGCACAUUGGGACUGAGACACGG
RNAcentral lists this ribosomal RNA (335 nucleotides) under uncultured microorganism. RNAcentral describes it as "bacterial SSU rRNA". It matches the Rfam family "Bacterial small subunit ribosomal RNA", at positions 9 to 329 of the family's 1533-position model. The record is from RNAcentral.